GGAGAAGAGAUAAAAAAAAUUCAGACACUUCUGUUGGUAUAUCAAACUUGAUUAGUAAUAAGCUCAGCAGAUUACUAAUAGAUAGGUUAAAGGAGAACUAAAGGUAUAAUCACUGGGGGAUGCCCCCUGUAAAUUAAAAUGUUUAGCUGAAACCCCAGAGUGGUGCUCCUGUUAUAAAACUGCACCGGCCCAGGGUAUUUCUGCAGAAAAUCAUUUGCUGCAAUCUUCUUCUUUCUCUGGGCCCUGGCAUGUAGAGUAAAAAAGACAGCUUUUGGUGUCAGUUCAGCUUUCAGUCUGCUGCACAUGCGUCUGCCCAGACUGGAAUGAAGAGAAGACUAAAGAGGCUGAGGAAGAUGGCGAAAUACCCUGGGCACCAGCCCACGGUCUCAGCUUUUCCAUCCAGCUUCUCACUACAAGGAAAAAGAAACACAAUUGUUCAUGACAGACUGGAAUCUAUACAAUAGCAAGAAUAAAUGGGUUCGUUUCAGAGGACAGAAUUCUCCUUAAACAGUAAGUCAUUUCUCA
Long non-coding RNA from Xenopus tropicalis (tropical clawed frog), 525 nucleotides. RefSeq lists it as uncharacterized. The record is from RefSeq and is a predicted model, not a curated record. The transcript is spliced from 3 exons. Lineage: Eukaryota; Metazoa; Chordata; Amphibia; Anura; Pipidae.